This 500-nucleotide ribosomal RNA is filed under the name uncultured bacterium. RNAcentral describes it as "partial 16S ribosomal RNA". It matches the Rfam family "Bacterial small subunit ribosomal RNA", at positions 30 to 523 of the family's 1533-position model. The record is from RNAcentral.
AUUGAACGCUGGCGGCAUGCCUUACACAUGCAAGUCGAACGGCAGCACGGGAGCAAUCCUGGUGGCGAGUGGCGAACGGGUGAGUAAAGUAUCGGAACGUGCCCAGUCGUGGGGGAUAACGUAGCGAAAGUUACGCUAAUACCGCAUACGAUCUAUGGAUGAAAGCGGGGGAUCGCAAGACCUCGCGCGAUUGGAGCGGCCGAUAUCAGAUUAGGUAGUUGGUGGGGUAAAGGCUCACCAAGCCGACGAUCUGUAGCUGGUCUGAGAGGACGACAAGCCACACUGGGACUGAGACACGACCCAGACUCCAACGGGAGGCAGCAGUGGGGAAUUUUGGACAAUGGGCGAAAGCCUGAUCCAGCCAUGCCGCGUGCAGGAUGAAGGCCUUCGGGUUGUAAACUGCUUUUGUACGGAACGAAAAGGUUUGGGCUAAUAAGCUGAGCUCAUGACGGUACCGUAAGAAUAAGCACCGGCUAACUACGUGCCAGCCGCCGCAGUAA